This 254-nucleotide ribosomal RNA is filed under the name uncultured bacterium. RNAcentral describes it as "partial 16S ribosomal RNA". It matches the Rfam family "Bacterial small subunit ribosomal RNA", at positions 524 to 777 of the family's 1533-position model. The record is from RNAcentral.
UACGAAGGGGGCUAGCGUUGCUCGGAAUUACUGGGCGUAAAGCGCACGUAGGCGGAUUGUUAAGUCGGGGGUGAAAUCCUGGAGCUCAACUCCAGAACUGCCUUCGAUACUGGCGAUCUCGAGUUCGGGAGAGGUGAGUGGAACUGCGAGUGUAGAGGUGAAAUUCGUAGAUAUUCGCAAGAACACCAGUGGCGAAGGCGGACUCGCUGGCCCGAUACUGACGCUGAGGCACGAAAGCGUGGGAGCAAACAGGG